CUAGGAUUCUAAAUUAAACUAUUGUUUG
RNAcentral lists this transfer RNA (28 nucleotides) under Pseudosimochromis babaulti. RNAcentral's name for it is "partial tRNA-Pro". The record is from RNAcentral. Lineage: Eukaryota; Metazoa; Chordata; Actinopteri; Cichliformes; Cichlidae. RNAcentral also lists the same sequence under 1 other name.